RNAcentral lists this unclassified non-coding RNA (226 nucleotides) under air metagenome. RNAcentral's name for it is "partial contains small subunit ribosomal RNA, internal transcribed spacer 1, and 5.8S ribosomal RNA". The stretch from base 1 to 46 matches the Rfam family "Eukaryotic small subunit ribosomal RNA", at positions 1786 to 1831 of the family's 1831-position model. The record is from RNAcentral.
AAGUCGUAACAAGGUCUCCGUAGGUGAACCUGCGGAGGGAUCAUUACCACUUGGCUUUUGCCAAACGUCUCGGGCAACCGACGACACCACCCUUGACCACGAUACCGUAGUACCUUCCUCGGCGGAGACGUCCGCCGGCGGAGCACACCAAACCUUUGCCAACGCAGCAACAAUCGUCUGAAAUUUUGAAUCGUUACAACUUUCAACAAUGGAUCUCUUGGCUCUG